Molecule: ribosomal RNA, 1188 nt
Filed under: Salmonella enterica
Lineage: Bacteria; Pseudomonadati; Pseudomonadota; Gammaproteobacteria; Enterobacterales; Enterobacteriaceae
Also listed under: 5 other names
Description: partial 23S ribosomal RNA
Rfam family: Bacterial large subunit ribosomal RNA
Source: RNAcentral
UUACCCAUGGAGCUGAAGUCAGUCGAAGAUACCAGCUGGCUGCAACUGUUUAUUAAAAACACAGCACUGUGCAAACACGAAAGUGGACGUAUACGGUGUGACGCCUGCCCGGUGCCGGAAGGUUAAUUGAUGGGGUCAGCGCAAGCGAAGCUCCUGAUCGAAGCCCCGGUAAACGGCGGCCGUAACUAUAACGGUCCUAAGGUAGCGAAAUUCCUUGUCGGGUAAGUUCCGACCUGCACGAAUGGCGUAAUGAUGGCCAGGCUGUCUCCACCCGGGACUCAGUGAAAUUGAACUCGCUGUGAAGAUGCAGUGUACCCGCGGCAAGACGGAAAGACCCCGUGAACCUUUACUAUAGCUUGACACUGAACACUGGUCCUUGAUGUGCAGGAUAGGUGGGAGGCUUUGAAGUGUGGACGCCAGUCUGCAUGGAGCCAUCCUUGAAAUACCACCCUUUAAUGGCUGGUGUUCUAACGUGGGCCCGUGAACCGGGUUGCGGACAGUGUCUGGUGGGUAGUUUGACUGGGGCGGUCUCCUCCUAAAGAGUAACGGAGGAGCACGAAGGUUGGCUAAUCCUGGUCGGACAUCAGGAGGUUAGUGCAAUGGCAUAAGCCAGCUUGACUGCGAGCGUGACGGCGCGAGCAGGUGCGAAAGCAGGUCAUAGUGAUCCGGUGGUUCUGAAUGGAAGGGCCAUCGCUCAACGGAUAAAAGGUACUCCGGGGAUAACAGGCUGAUACCGCCCAAGAGUUCAUAUCGACGGCGGUGUUUGGCACCUCGAUGUCGGCUCAUCACAUCCUGGGGCUGAAGUAGGUCCCAAGGGUAUGGCUGUUCGCCAUUUAAAGUGGUACGCGAGCUGGGUUUAGAACGUCGUGAGACAGUUCGGUCCCUAUCUGCCGUGGGCGCUGGAAGAUUGAGGGGGGCUGCUCCUAGUACGAGAGGACCGGAGUGGACGCAUCACUGGUGUUCGGGUUGUCAUGCCAAUGGCACUGCCCGGUAGCUACAUGCGGAAGAGAUAAGUGCUGAAAGCAUCUAAGCACGAAACUUGCCCCGAGAUGAAUCUUCCCUGAGCCUUUAAGGCUCCUGAAGGAACGUUGAAGACGACGACGUUGAUAGGCCGGGUGUGUAAGCGCAGCGAUGCGUUGAGCUAACCGGUACUAAUGAACCGUGAGGCUUAACCUUACAACGCCGAAG